AAGCUUGCUUUGAUGGAUGGCGACCGGCGCACGGGUGAGUAACACGUAUCCAACCUGCCGACAACACUGGGAUAGCCUUUCGAAAGAAAGAUUAAUACCGGAUGGCAUAAUUAUUCCGCAUGGGAUAAUUAUUAAAGAAUUUCGGUUGUCGAUGGGGAUGCGUUCCAUUAGGCAGUUGGCGGGGUAACGGCCCACCAAACCAACGAUGGAUAGGGGUUCUGAGAGGAAGGUCCCCCACAUUGGAACUGAGACACGGUCCAAACUCCUACGGGAGGCAGCAGUGAGGAAUAUUGGUCAAUGGACGAGAGUCUGAACCAGCCAAGUAGCGUGAAGGAUGACCGCCCUAUGGGUUGUAAACUUCUUUUAUACGGGAAUAAAGUUAGCCACGUGUGGCUUUUUGUAUGUACCGUAUGAAUAAGGAUCGGCUAACUCCGUGCCAGCAGCCGCGGUAAUACGGAGGAUCCGAGCGUUAUCCGGAUUUAUUGGGUUUAAAGGGAGCGUAGGCGGGUUGUUAAGUCAGUUGUGAAAGUUUGCGGCUCAACCGUAAAAUUGCAGUUGAUACUGGCGACCUUGAGUGCAACAGAGGUAGGCGGAAUUCGUGGUGUAGCGGUGAAAUGCUUAGAUAUCACGAAGAACUCCGAUUG
This 644-nucleotide ribosomal RNA is filed under the name uncultured Bacteroides sp. RNAcentral's name for it is "bacterial SSU rRNA". It matches the Rfam family "Bacterial small subunit ribosomal RNA", at positions 76 to 715 of the family's 1533-position model. The record is from RNAcentral. Lineage: Bacteria; Pseudomonadati; Bacteroidota; Bacteroidia; Bacteroidales; Bacteroidaceae.